Molecule: transfer RNA, 84 nt
Filed under: Planctomyces sp.
Lineage: Bacteria; Pseudomonadati; Planctomycetota; Planctomycetia; Planctomycetales; Planctomycetaceae
Also listed under: 2 other names
Description: tRNA-Leu
Rfam family: tRNA
About the family: Transfer RNA (tRNA) molecules are approximately 80 nucleotides in length. Their secondary structure includes four short double-helical elements and three loops (D, anti-codon, and T loops).
Source: RNAcentral
GCCGGAGUGGCGGAAUGGCAGACGCGCCGGAUUCAAAAUCCGGUACCCCCUAAAGGUGUGUGGGUUCAAGUCCCUCCUCCGGCA